UAAAUGAAAAACAAAUAGUUAGAGGAUAUAUUAAUCACUUAUAAUACUAUUUGUGUGUGGGUAAAGCUGGGAAAUCCUUUCAUAAUAUAGUAUGUUCUGUUUUUGUGUUAACUGACAAUAGCUAACGAGACCGAUUUUAAAAGAAUGUCAACCGUUUCAAUACAGUUAUGCCUAUUAUUCAUUAUUACACUAAGUCUACCAUGUUCAACACAAUGGGCACAUACCUUUGGAUGGGGAGGUGCUGGAAAUGGAAAACGCUCAGAGUCAUCGUAUCAACAUUGCCAAACCGACUCGGAUGUCUUGAGAAUUGUUUCUCAAUUAAUACAGCUUGAAGCAAAAAGACUAAAAGCAUGUGAACAGAAAAAUUUCAAGUCAGCAGUACUUAUGCCGGAUUACGAGUAAGGAUGGAGCAAAGAAAUAUGAAACAUUUUACCUAUUUGUUAUCACAAUGACCAGUUCAACGAAAUAACUUCUUACAAGAUUACAGAUUGGAGAUCCUUUUUGUGUUUUUAAACAUUACAAGAUGCUACGUUGUAUGUGUAGUUUUAUUUAAAGUUUGGGUAAUCAACGAAGAAUGAGAUCUUUAUUUUUUACAAUUCUCUAUUUUUUUUAAAUUCAUGUCUACACCGCACACAAUAGAAUAUGCUUUCAAUCAAAAUUUAUUGAAUCAUUUCAAAUGAUUAAUGUUAUGUUAAGCAUUUUAGUGUGUUUUGUUUUACAUUACGUAUUAUACUUUUGUUUUAAAAUUCAAGAUUCACUGAACAUGUUGUGUCACUUAAUAUGACUGCUAUAUAUAAUCAGUGAAUAUAUACUAUAUCUGUAUAAAGUAAUCACAUUCAAUUGGAGUAAAACGUGCUCUUCAGGAAAAAACAUUACAUAUUUUUUUUAAUUAAGUAAUUAACUGUAGUAAAGACUAGUUCUAAAUAUGUAUAAUCAAAUAUUUUGUGCGUAUUCUUAAAGAUUUCAAGGACAAAUAAUUUUGCU
Mytilus trossulus (common blue mussel) is the source of this 984-nucleotide long non-coding RNA. RefSeq lists it as uncharacterized. The transcript is spliced from 4 exons. The record is from RefSeq and is a predicted model, not a curated record. Lineage: Eukaryota; Metazoa; Mollusca; Bivalvia; Mytilida; Mytilidae.